RNAcentral lists this ribosomal RNA (533 nucleotides) under uncultured bacterium. RNAcentral's name for it is "bacterial SSU rRNA". It matches the Rfam family "Bacterial small subunit ribosomal RNA", at positions 365 to 908 of the family's 1533-position model. The record is from RNAcentral.
UCGGCAAUGGGCGAAAGCCUGACCGAGCGACGCCGCGUGUGCGAUGAAGGCCUUUUGGUUGUAAAGCACUGUCGAAGGGGAGCAAGCCGCAAGGUUGAGAGUACCCUUGGAGGAAGCACGGGCUAAGUUCGUGCCAGCAGCCGCGGUAAGACGAACCGUGCGAACGUUAUUCGGAAUCACUGGGCUUAAAGGGUGCGUAGGCGGGUGGACAAGUCGAGGGUGAAAGCCUCUAGCUUAACUAGAGAAGUGCCCUCGAUACUGUUUGUCUUGAGAGAGAUAGGGGCACACGGAACUUCCGGUGGAGCGGUGAAAUGCGUAGAUAUCGGAAGGAACGCCGGUGGCGAAAGCGAUGUGCUGGACCUCUUCUGACGCUGAGGCGCGAAAGCUAGGGGAUCAAACGGGAUUAGAUACCCCGGUAGUCCUAGCCCUAAACUAUGGGUACUAGAUUGUGGACUUUCAUGGGUUCACAGUCGAAGCAAAAGUGUUAAGUACCCCGCCUGGGGAGUAUGGUCGCAAGGCUGAAACUCAAAGGA